GGUGAUGUAGCUCAGAUGGUUAGAGCGCGCCACUCAUAAUGGCGAGGUUCGCUGGUUCGAUCCCAGCCAUCACCA
RNAcentral lists this transfer RNA (75 nucleotides) under Anaerolineae bacterium. RNAcentral's name for it is "tRNA-Met". It matches the Rfam family "tRNA". Rfam says of the family: Transfer RNA (tRNA) molecules are approximately 80 nucleotides in length. Their secondary structure includes four short double-helical elements and three loops (D, anti-codon, and T loops). The record is from RNAcentral. Lineage: Bacteria; Bacillati; Chloroflexota; Anaerolineae.